RNAcentral lists this ribosomal RNA (459 nucleotides) under uncultured bacterium. RNAcentral describes it as "partial 16S ribosomal RNA". It matches the Rfam family "Bacterial small subunit ribosomal RNA", at positions 338 to 795 of the family's 1533-position model. The record is from RNAcentral.
CCUACGGGAGGCAGCAGUGAGGAAUAUUGGUCAAUGGCCGAGAGACUGAACCAGCCAAGUCGCGUGAGGGAAGACGGCCCUACGGGUUGUAAACUUCUUUUGUCGGGGAGCAAAGCGAGUCACGUGUGACGCAUUGAGAGUACCCGAUGAAAAAGCAUCGGCUAACUCCGUGCCAGCAGCCGCGGUAAUACGGAGGAUGCGAGCGUUAUCCGGAUUUAUUGGGUUUAAAGGGUGCGCAGGCGGAGGUUAAAGUGAGCGGUAAAAUUGCGGGGCUCAACCCCGUACUGCCGCUGAAACUGGAUCCCUUGAGUGCGCGAGACGUAUGCGGAAUGCGUGGUGUAGCGGUGAAAUGCAUAGAUAUCACGAAGAACUCCGAUUGCGAAGGCAGCAUACCGGAGCGCAACUGACGCUGAUGCACGAAAGCGUGGGUAUCGAACAGGAUUAGAUACCCCUGUAGUC